RNAcentral lists this ribosomal RNA (495 nucleotides) under uncultured bacterium. RNAcentral describes it as "partial 16S ribosomal RNA". It matches the Rfam family "Bacterial small subunit ribosomal RNA", at positions 28 to 507 of the family's 1533-position model. The record is from RNAcentral.
GACGAACGCUGGCGGCGUGCCUAAUACAUGCAAGUAGAACGCUGAAGGAGGAGCUUGCUUCUCUGGAUGAGUUGCGGACGGGUGAGUAACGCGUAGGUAACCUGCCUGGUAGCGGGGGAUAACUAUUGGAAACGAUAGCUAAUACCGCAUAAGAGUAGAUGUUGCAUGACAUUUGCUUAAAAGGUGCAAUUGCAUCACUACCAGAUGGACCUGCGUUGUAUUAGCUAGUUGGUGAGGUAACGGCUCACCAAGGCAACGAUACAUAGCCGACCUGAGAGGGUGAUCGGCCACACUGGGACUGAGACACGGCCCAGACUCCUACGGGAGGCAGCAGUAGGGAAUCUUCGGCAAUGGACGGAAGUCUGACCGAGCAACGCCGCGUGAGUGAAGAAGGUUUUCGGAUCGUAAAGCUCUGUUGUAAGAGAAGAACGAGUGUGAGAGUGGAAAGUUCACACUGUGACGGUAGCUUACCAGAAAGGGACGGCUAACUACGUG